GGAUCCUUUCUUGAGGUAGGCCAAUUUACUUUUUUCUUCCUUUCGCUUCUUUACUUAGCUUAUUCCUUAGCUUUUAUAUUGACUUCUUGGCCGUUCUUGCAGAUUGGACACUAGCUUAUCGCCAAUAUCGAGGCGAUGAAUAACAUCAAGAAAGAAGCAGCCCAGGUGGAGGAAGGUCGCCAGGCUGAAGCUGCCCGUCUCAAGGAGAAGGUCACCGAAGUUGCGAGUCUCCGAGAGGCGCUGCAGAAGGAGGGACAAACCUCAAC
RNAcentral lists this long non-coding RNA (266 nucleotides) under Elaeis guineensis (African oil palm). RNAcentral describes it as "long non-coding RNA (EGUI_LNC017947)". The record is from RNAcentral. Lineage: Eukaryota; Viridiplantae; Streptophyta; Magnoliopsida; Arecales; Arecaceae.